AUGAGUUUUCUACAUUGUGCUGCAUUGUUAAGAAAGAGUUUGAUGAUGCCACAAGAGCAAGAAUUAAAAGUCAUUUGUAGAACCAUGUUUCCUCAUGGCAGGAGGCGAGCAAUACUUUACUAUUACAAUGUUCAUUUUCAAUACAAUCAGAAGUAUGACACUGAUUGUCAAUUGCGUGUUCAUGCAGGUUGCGCGUUCAUGCAAUACUUUACCCAUGAAAUAGAAGAGUUGUGCAGGCGUGUGAUUCAAGUUCUUCGUCGGAAUGGACCCAACUCAUUCAGUGAAGAAAUUUCAAGGUUCUCUUUCGGAACUGGUUUGAGCUUCUAUAAGUUCAAUUUGAAGAACAGUAUCACAGAAUAA
This 360-nucleotide ribosomal RNA is filed under the name Triticum aestivum (bread wheat). Its description in RNAcentral is "partial small subunit ribosomal RNA". The record is from RNAcentral. Lineage: Eukaryota; Viridiplantae; Streptophyta; Magnoliopsida; Poales; Poaceae.